Molecule: long non-coding RNA, 1830 nt
Organism: Lotus japonicus
Lineage: Eukaryota; Viridiplantae; Streptophyta; Magnoliopsida; Fabales; Fabaceae
Exons: 3
Source: RefSeq, a predicted model, not a curated record
ACUCACGUUCUCUCUCUCAGAAGCAUCACCACCAGACUUCAAUAUUUAUUCAUUUCCUUUCUUUUCAUUUCUUUUGCUGCAGCUCACCAAUUCUUUCCACUUAUUCUUCCUCUCUUUUCUUUCCCCUGGGCAGCAUAAAAAAACGCACAUCAUGGUCCCUUUUCCUCCCUCACGUGAUUCCUCUCUUCUGCAGCACCAUCAUCUUCAUCUUCCAAUUUUAUGGGUACGAAGGACGAAAGCGCCUUCCGACGAAGCUAAAGAAUAGAAGGAAGCGAGCCGACGCGGAAAACAAAGAUGUGAUAGGAUUGGAGUUGCAGUUUAGGAAGAAAAUUGGCUAAGGAGAAACUUGGCUACAUGUCACACGCUUCAACGUUCUAUCAAUUAUUAAAAAGAUACGUGUUCCUCAGAAAUUGGAAGUAACCAUGCUCCUACUGUACCCUAGUGUCAAGACUCUGACCGUUCAACGUCACGUCAUCAGUCAGAUAUAUCAAGUAGUAUUUUUGAGCGCCAAAGCCUUAGUUUGAUUUCAACCGGCUGUCUCACAUUUAGAUCAAAUGGCAACUACUUGAAUUUCAUUCAAACUAGAUCACAUGAAGACAAGUUUGCUUUAAGCAAAAGGCACACUGACCAACGAGGAAAAGUUCAAGAUGUCAACAUCAAAUUGCCAAAUUGUCUCUUGUCUGAAAAGUAGCCCAAAGUCUAUCACCACCUACUAGCUGACAAACAUCACCUUUUGAGUUAAAGGAUAGACUUGCUUCAGAAGUAACAUUUAAUGAAGCUACCAACCAAGCCAUUUGAAUCAACGGUCUGAUACCACUGUUAGGAAAUAACACAGUUGAAGAAGUAAAAUAAACCAAGAGCACAAUCAACACGAGAAUAUAACGUGGAAACUCCAAAACCGGAGAAAAAACCACGACCGUUGUCAAAACCGACAACCAGAGAAUAAACACUAUGUGAAAAUUGUUACAACGCAUAGACUUCACUCUCAAUCACACCCCAAGACCCAGUACACCCACACUCUCCAAAGUGAAUAUUUGAAUUACAUCUCACAAUGAUCUAAAACAAGAGCAUAAGAGAAAAAGAAAACACAAAUAUAAACAUAAAGUGUUUUCAGGUGCUAAUGCUUGUUAUUUUUGUUGUGUUGAAACAAGGAGCUUGAGAUCCUUAUAUAUAGUCUUGGACCCUCCCACCUCUCACUAAUCUAAGCAAUGUGAGACUUCUCCAAGAUGCAUAACUUAAUCUUUUUUUCUCCUUCAUUAGCAAUGUGGGACUGACAUUGGAAUCAACUCCAACAGCUUGUAGUGUCUUCUGUCAUAUUUCUCCUCCAUUUAACGUGUUUCUAGUUUGUGGUGAAGGAAUUCAGUUCAAGCUUCUUUGAUGGGGUAGUGUCACGUGGGUAUAGAUUCAUUUGGAUUAUUAUAUAGUAUUUUUGUACUGUUACAGUAAGGGGCGGGUUUAUGCAAGUGGGUGAGUUUAUGCAAACCCCAUGUUAGCACCCUUUGUGUUUAAUCAAUAUAUUUUCUACAUAUAAAAAAAAAAAGUACCGGUGAUCUCAAGUACCAUUGUUGGCCUUGGAUGUUAGACAUCACAUUACAGAAAACUGAGUGCAAAAUUUGCAUACAAGGUCUGUUUGUAACUUCAUUGGGUUUUGAUUUUUGAAAUGACCAAAACCAAAGGCUGAAAUUAUGCCUUUAAAAUGUCCAUUACUCACACAAUAACUCAUAAUAUAGUAAUUAAUAGCUUAAUUUGCUACUCAAAAUCAAAUAUGCAGCUGUAUCAAUUGCACGGCUUUAAUUUUUUUGUUUAAUUUUAAGAAAGCUUUUAAUUAAA